CGCACGGGUGAGUAAUAUAUAGAUAACGUGCCUCUUAGUCUGGGAUAGCCAUUGGAAACGAUGAUUAAUACUAGAUACUCCUUCUUAUUAUAAUGUAAGUUGGGAAAGUUUUUCGCUAAGAGAUCGGUCUAUAUCCCAUCAGCUUGUUGGUAGUGUAAGAGACUACCAAGGCAAUGACGGGUAGCGGGUUUGAGAGGAUGAUCCGCCACACUGGUACUGGGACACGGACCAG
Molecule: ribosomal RNA, 232 nt
Filed under: uncultured bacterium
Lineage: Bacteria
Description: partial 16S ribosomal RNA
Rfam family: Bacterial small subunit ribosomal RNA
Source: RNAcentral